RNAcentral lists this ribosomal RNA (497 nucleotides) under uncultured bacterium. RNAcentral describes it as "partial 16S ribosomal RNA". It matches the Rfam family "Bacterial small subunit ribosomal RNA", at positions 28 to 507 of the family's 1533-position model. The record is from RNAcentral.
GGUGAACGCUGGCGGCGUGCCUAAUACAUGCAAGUCGAGCGAACAGACGAGGAGCUUGCUCCUCUGACGUUAGCGGCGGACGGGUGAGUAACACGUGGAUCACCAUCUUAUUAGACUGGGAGAACUUCGUGAAACCGGAGCUAAUACCGGAUAAUAUAUUGAACCGGAUGGUUCAAUAGUGAUAGACGGUUUUCCUGUCACUUAUAGAUGGUUCCGCGCCGCAUUAGCUAGUUGGUAAGGUAACGGCUUACCAAGGCCACGAUGCGUAUCUGACCUGAGAGGAUGAUCAGCCACACUGGAACUGAGACACGGUCCAGACUCCUACGGGAGGCAGCAGUAGGGAAUCUUCCGCAAUGGGCGAAAGCCUGAUGGAGCAAUGCCGCGUGAGUGAUGAAGGUCUUCGGAUCGUAAAACUCUGUUAUUAGGGAAGAAAAAAUGUAUAAGUAAAUCUGCACGUCUUGACGGUACCUAAUCAGAAAGCCACGGCUAACUUCGUG